Molecule: non-coding RNA, 31 nt
Filed under: Homo sapiens (human)
Lineage: Eukaryota; Metazoa; Chordata; Mammalia; Primates; Hominidae
Source: RNAcentral
UCCUAGCUUAUAAGGGGCCUAAGUGCAGGGU